RNAcentral lists this ribosomal RNA (606 nucleotides) under Escherichia coli. RNAcentral describes it as "partial 23S ribosomal RNA". It matches the Rfam family "Bacterial large subunit ribosomal RNA", at positions 2325 to 2925 of the family's 2925-position model. Lineage: Bacteria; Pseudomonadati; Pseudomonadota; Gammaproteobacteria; Enterobacterales; Enterobacteriaceae. The record is from RNAcentral.
UCCUGGUCGGACAUCAGGAGGUUAGUGCAAUGGCAUAAGCCAGCUUGACUGCGAGCGUGACGGCGCGAGCAGGUGCGAAAGCAGGUCAUAGUGAUCCGGUGGUUCUGAAUGGAAGGGCCAUCGCUCAACGGAUAAAAGGUACUCCGGGGAUAACAGGCUGAUACCGCCCAAGAGUUCAUAUCGACGGCGGUGUUUGGCACCUCGAUGUCGGCUCAUCACAUCCUGGGGCUGAAGUAGGUCCCAAGGGUAUGGCUGUUCGCCAUUUAAAGUGGUACGCGAGCUGGGUUUAGAACGUCGUGAGACAGUUCGGUCCCUAUCUGCCGUGGGCGCUGGAGAAUUGAGGGGGGCUGCUCCUAGUACGAGAGGACCGGAGUGGACGCAUCACUGGUGUUCGGGUUGUCAUGCCAAUGGCACUGCCCGGUAGCUAAAUGCGGAAGAGAUAAGUGCUGAAAGCAUCUAAGCACGAAACUUGCCCCGAGAUGAGUUCUCCCUGACUCCUUGAGAGUCCUGAAGGAACGUUGAAGACGACGACGUUGAUAGGCCGGGUGUGUAAGCGCAGCGAUGCGUUGAGCUAACCGGUACUAAUGAACCGUGAGGCUUAACCUU